UGGGGAAUUUUGGACAAUGGGGGAAACCCUGAUCCAGCCAUCCCGCGUGUGCGAUGAAGGCCUUGGGGUUGUAAAGCACUUUUGGCAGGAAAGAAACGUCAUGGGUUAAUACCCCGUGAAACUGACGGUACCUGCAGAAUAAGCACCGGCUAACUACGUGCCAGCAGCCGCGGUAAUACGUAGGGUGCAAGCGUUAAUCGGAAUUACUGGGCGUAAAGCGUGCGCAGGCGGUUCGGAAAGAAAGAUGUGAAAUCCCAGAGCUCAACUUUGGAACUGCAUUUUUAACUACCGGGCUAGAGUGUGUCAGAGGGAGGUGGAAUUCCGCGUGUAGCAGUGAAAUGCGUAGAUAUGCGGAGGAACACCGAUGGCGAAGGCAGCCUCCUGGGAUAACACUGACGCUCAUGCACGAAAGCGUGGGGAGCAAACAGG
This 429-nucleotide ribosomal RNA is filed under the name Acidobacteriota bacterium. RNAcentral's name for it is "Acidobacteria bacterium partial 16S ribosomal RNA". It matches the Rfam family "Bacterial small subunit ribosomal RNA", at positions 355 to 776 of the family's 1533-position model. The record is from RNAcentral. Lineage: Bacteria; Pseudomonadati; Acidobacteriota.